AUAAUUCUUGGGAAGCUUCUUGAUGCGCUUCCUUAGAAUCAUAGGCCAAUAGUAUAUAUAGGAGUCGAGGCUGAAGAGUUCUUCAGUCUCGACAACACAUCUCUUGAAGCUCUAGCUCAAUUGUCUUGGCGUUGCUCUUGUACUCAUCUGAUAAUCUAGUUCUUCUCAUUUCUUCUUGAACUUCUUGUUUAGAUUUCUUGUUUGUAUUUUUGGUCCGUGACAGUUUGUCGAGACUA
RNAcentral lists this long non-coding RNA (236 nucleotides) under Physcomitrium patens. RNAcentral describes it as "long non-coding RNA (PPAT_LNC007038)". The record is from RNAcentral. Lineage: Eukaryota; Viridiplantae; Streptophyta; Bryopsida; Funariales; Funariaceae.